Molecule: non-coding RNA, 183 nt
Filed under: Candidatus Coprovivens excrementavium
Lineage: Bacteria; Bacillati; Bacillota; Bacilli
Description: 6S RNA
Rfam family: 6S / SsrS RNA
About the family: E. coli 6S RNA was the first non coding RNA to be sequenced, but its function was unknown until recently. It consists of 184 nucleotides that fold into an extended hairpin structure with a large single-stranded internal bulge.
Source: RNAcentral
AAUUACCCAAGGAUAAGUGCUUACUUUUCAUAAAAACCGAGUAAGUGAUUAUAAGGGAAUCUAAUUGGCUUAUGGUGUUGAAGACCUUGCUUUUAUAGUGUAGGGAUCCUAAAAUAAGUCAUGUGAUGCCCACCUGUGUAGUGCAGGUUUUUUAUCACAAGUAGGUAUCUCCCUGGGUUUUUA